Molecule: ribosomal RNA, 492 nt
Filed under: uncultured bacterium
Lineage: Bacteria
Description: partial 16S ribosomal RNA
Rfam family: Bacterial small subunit ribosomal RNA
Source: RNAcentral
GAUGAACGCUAGCUACAGGCUUAACACAUGCCAGUCGAGGGGAAACGGCAUUGAGUGCUUGCACUCUUUGGACGUCGACCGGCGCACGGGUGAGUAACGCGUAUCCAACCUUCCCAUUACUGUGGGAUAACCUGCCGAAAGGCAGACUAAUACCGCAUAGUCUUCGAUGACGGCAUCAGAUUUGAAGUAAAGAUUUAUCGGUAAUGGAUGGGGAUGCGUCUGAUUAGCUUGUUGGCGGGGUAACGGCCCACCAAGGCUACGAUCAGUAGGGGUUCUGAGAGGAAGGUCCCCCACAUUGGAACUGAGACACGGUCCAAACUCCUACGGGAGGCAGCAGUGAGGAAUAUUGGUCAAUGGACGGAAGUCUGAACCAGCCAAGUAGCGUGCAGGAUGACGGCCCUAUGGGUUGUAAACUGCUUUUGGAUGGGGAUAAAGUUAGGGACGUGUCCCUAUUUGCAGGUACCAUACGAAUAAGGACCGGCUAAUUCCGUG